AAAUGCUACACUUCUUGGCAUCUUUGGCGACACUUCUCAGGGCUGGCUAGAAGACUAAAAUAUUGUAGUGACUGUUAAUUAUUAUUCGAACAGUAUUGUAUAUUCGAUCCUUCAAAUUAUUUCAUGUAUUCAGUUAGAAUUCAUGACUCAGUAUUACCAGUCUUGGGAGGUUGUUAUAAUUAUUUCCGUUGUUGAUUUCGAUUAUCUAUAUAAAACAAAUGGCUUGAUGUGUUAUUAGAAUCAGCUUACCUAGUCUUAGAGACUAAGUGCCAUCACGAUACCUGUGGUCCUAAAAAAUACAAUAGUGACUAAAUAAUAUAUGUGCAACUUCACAUCUCUUUUCAAGAAUAUCCAAAUGGUCCUAAAAAGACAACCUUAUCUGUUUCAACAAUAAUGUUAGAAUGAGCCCUAUUACAAAGGGUUUUCCAAUAGACACGUUUUUAACAUUCAAGUAAACAAAUUGUUCUUGUUAACGCACCUACUAUAGUUACAAAUUUUGGAGUCCAGUAAAUGCUCUAUAAAUAUCAGGACGAAGCAAAAGGGAGUAGAGCCAACUAAAAAGAUAUAAAGAGCGAGCAUCAUAUCAUAUAUAGCAAUACAAGAAAGAUGGUAAGUUAUUCUUCUGGUUGAUAUAUUCUUACUCUUUCUUUCUUGUGUUUACUUUCAUAAUUGAUGUUUGAAAAUUACGUAACAACUGAUCAAGUGUUAAUAUAUUGUAUUUAAUCAGCAAGGCCAGUGGAUAGCCGCAAGAGACCUUUCAAUUACAUGGGUGAACAAUCCUUAGUACUGGACAUGAAAAACUGUUAAUCCUAAGUCUGUCUCUCUCUAACUAUCUCUCUCUAAAUUUC
Molecule: long non-coding RNA, 848 nt
Filed under: Nicotiana tabacum (common tobacco)
Lineage: Eukaryota; Viridiplantae; Streptophyta; Magnoliopsida; Solanales; Solanaceae
Description: long non-coding RNA (NTAB_LNC011773)
Source: RNAcentral